This 253-nucleotide ribosomal RNA is filed under the name uncultured bacterium. RNAcentral's name for it is "partial 16S ribosomal RNA". It matches the Rfam family "Bacterial small subunit ribosomal RNA", at positions 524 to 776 of the family's 1533-position model. The record is from RNAcentral.
GACGAAGGGGGCUAGCGUUGUUCGGAAUUACUGGGCGUAAAGCGAGUGUAGGUGGUUGUCCAAGUUGGAUGUGAAAGCCUUGAGCUCAACUCAAGAAAUGCAUUCAGGACUGGGCGGCUAGAGGACCGGAGAGGAUAGUGGAAUUCCCAGUGUAGAGGUGAAAUUCAUAGAUAUGGGGAGGAACACCGGUGGCGAAGGCGACCAUCUGGACGGAUACUGACGCUGAGACGCGAAAGCGUGGGUAGCAAACAGG